Molecule: ribosomal RNA, 254 nt
Filed under: uncultured bacterium
Lineage: Bacteria
Description: partial 16S ribosomal RNA
Rfam family: Bacterial small subunit ribosomal RNA
Source: RNAcentral
UACGGGGGGAGCAAGCGUUGUUCGGAUUUACUGGGCGUAAAGGGCGCGUAGGCGGCCACCGCAAGUCGGUUGUGAAAUCUCCGGGCUUAACCCGGAAAGGUCAAUCGAUACUGCGGGGCUAGAGUGCAGAAGGGGCAACUGGAAUUCUCGGUGUAGCGGUGAAAUGCGUAGAUAUCAAGAGGAACACCUGAGGUGAAGACGGGUUGCUGGGCCAACACUGACGCUGAGGCGCGAAAGCCAGGGGAGCAAACGGG